Molecule: ribosomal RNA, 838 nt
Filed under: uncultured marine microorganism
Description: bacterial SSU rRNA
Rfam family: Bacterial small subunit ribosomal RNA
Source: RNAcentral
AGAGUUUGAUCAUGGCUCAGAACGAACGCUGGCGGCGUGCCUAACACAUGCAAGUCGAACGAGAAUUACUCUUCGGAGUAAGGAAAGUGGCGCACGGGUGAGUAACGCGUGGGUAAUCUGCCCUUUGGUUGGGGACAACAGUUUGAAAGAACUGCUAAUACCGAAUAAGUCGGUCACCUCUGCGGAGGGGAUCGGGAAAGAUUUAUCGCCGAAGGAUGAGCCCGCGUAUCAUUAGGUAGUUGGUGAGGUAAUGGCUCACCAAGCCAAAGAUGAUUAGCUGGUCUGAGAGGAUGAUCAGCCACACUGGGACUGAGACACGGCCCAGACUCCUACGGGAGGCAGCAGUGGGGAAUAUUGCGCAAUGGACGAAAGUCUGACGCAGCAACGCCGCGUGAGUGAAGAAGGCCUUCGGGUUGUAAAGCUCUGUUAAGAUAGAAAGAAAAAACCUUCGGGUCCUGACGGUACUAUCUCAGGAAGCACCGGCUAACUCCGUGCCAGCAGCCGCGGUAAUACGGAGGGUGCAAGCGUUGUUCGGAAUUAUUGGGCGUAAAGCGUGCGUAGGCGGAUUAUUAAGUCUGAUGUGAAAUCCUGCGGCUCAACCGCAGACGUGCAUUGGAUACUGGUAGUCUUGAGUCCCGGAGAGGAGAGCGGAAUUCCUAGUGUAGAGGUGAAAUUCGUAGAUAUUAGGAGGAACACCAGUGGCGAAAGCGGCUCUCUGGGCGGUGACUGACGCUGANGCACGAAAGCAUAGGUAGCAAACAGGAUUAGAUACCCUGGUAGUCUAUGCCGUAAACGAUGGGCACUAGUCGGUGCGGGUAUUGACCCCUGCGCUGACGAA